RNAcentral lists this ribosomal RNA (917 nucleotides) under uncultured Campylobacterota bacterium. RNAcentral's name for it is "bacterial SSU rRNA". It matches the Rfam family "Bacterial small subunit ribosomal RNA", at positions 335 to 1269 of the family's 1533-position model. The record is from RNAcentral. Lineage: Bacteria; Pseudomonadati; Campylobacterota.
ACUCCUACGGGAGGCAGCAGUGGGGAAUAUUGCACAAUGGAGGGAACUCUGAUGCAGCAACGCCGCGUGGAGGAUGACGCAUUUCGGUAUGUAAACUCCUUUUAUAUGGGAAGAUAAUGACGGUACCAUAUGAAUAAGCACCGGCUAACUCCGUGCCAGCAGCCGCGGUAAUACGGAGGGUGCAAGCGUUACUCGGAAUCACUGGGCGUAAAGCGCAUGCAGGCGGUCUAAUAAGUUGGAAGUGAAAGCCUAUGGCUCAACCAUAGAACUGCUUCCAAAACUGUUAGACUAGAGUCUGGGAGGGGAAGAUGGAAUUAGUAGUGUAGGGGUAAAAUCCGUAGAGAUUACUAGGAAUACCAAAAGCGAAGGCGAUCUUCUGGAACAGUACUGACGCUGAGAUGCGAAAGCGUGGGGAGCAAACAGGAUUAGAUACCCUGGUAGUCCACGCAGUAAACGAUGAAUGUUAGUCGUUGGUGUCCUAGAGACAUCAGUGAUGCAGUUAACACAUUAAACAUUCCGCCUGGGGAGUACGGUCGCAAGAUUAAAACUCAAAGGAAUAGACGGGGACCCGCACAAGUGGUGGAGCAUGUGGUUUAAUUCGAAGAUACGCGAAGAACCUUACCUAGCCUUGACAUACUAAAGAAUUCACCAGAGAUGGAGAAGUGCCUUCGGGAGCUUUAAUACAGGUGCUGCACGGCUGUCGUCAGCUCGUGUCGUGAGAUGUUGGGUUAAGUCCCGCAACGAGCGCAACCCUCGUCACUAGUUACUAACGAUUCGGUCGAGGACUCUAGUGAGACUGCCUUCGUAAGGAGGAGGAAGGUGAGGACGACGUCACGUCAUCAUGGGCUCUUACGGCUAGGGCAACACACGUGCUACAAUGGUUAGGACAAUGAGAGGCGAUACCGCGAGGUGGAGCA